UCGUUGGUACAACCACAUUGAUGCCCUCUUGAGGAUCUCUGGUGUCUCCGCUGAAGGAAGCGGUGUCGUUGUUGAGGGAUCUGCCCCUAUCACAGAAGAGGCUGUUGCUACUCCCCCUGCAGCUGAUUCUAAGGAUGCUGCGGCUGAGG
Molecule: non-coding RNA, 149 nt
Organism: Camelina sativa (false flax)
Lineage: Eukaryota; Viridiplantae; Streptophyta; Magnoliopsida; Brassicales; Brassicaceae
Source: RefSeq, a predicted model, not a curated record